RNAcentral lists this ribosomal RNA (377 nucleotides) under uncultured bacterium. Its description in RNAcentral is "bacterial SSU rRNA". It matches the Rfam family "Bacterial small subunit ribosomal RNA", at positions 523 to 898 of the family's 1533-position model. The record is from RNAcentral.
AUACGUAGGUGGCGAGCGUUGUCCGGAAUUACUGGGUGUAAAGGGCGUGUAGGCGGGGAUGCAAGUCAGAUGUGAAAUACUAAGGCUUAACCUUGGGGCUGCAUCUGAAACUGUGUUUCUUGAGUGUCGGAGAGGAAAGCGGAAUUCCCAGUGUAGCGGUGAAAUGCGUAGAGAUUGGGAGGAACACCAGUGGCGAAGGCGGCUUUCUGGACGACAACUGACGCUGAGGCGCGAAAGCGUGGGGAGCAAACAGGAUUAGAUACCCUGGUAGUCCACGCCGUAAACGAUGGAUACUAGGUGUAGGAGGUAUCGACCCCUUCGGUGCCGGAGUUAACGCAAUAAGUGUUCCGCCUGGGGAGUACGGCCGCAAGGUUGGA